UGCAGAGUGCAUAGUAAGGUCUGUUUAAUUAAGGUUUGUCAGGUUAGUCCCUCAGACCUUGCAGACACCUAGAGGAAGACCCUCACCCUAUGCAGAAGGCAAUGAAGAGGCUGAUAAGAAGAUGGAUGAAUAUAAGUGCCAAAGUGUCUGGUGCCCUGUGAUAAAGAAAUUGUGGGGCAAGUUGUUGCAGCUAAGAAGGCUGCAGAUGAGAUGCACCCAGGAGCUGUGGUCUUCUGGUGAGACUUUCUACUGCUUUGAAUUGUGAGGUUUUCUGCAGAGGGAUUUCUUACUGUGGAAGGACUAAGGCAUGUCAGUUCCGUCAGGUUCUGCCUAUGGACCUGGCUGUUUCUGGAAACAGGAGAGGAUGGAAGUCAUGUUUUUGUAAAGGGCUGUGCUGCUGUGGACGUGAUGACUGAGACAUUCAAAUUUGUGAGUGAAAUACGU
Long non-coding RNA from Haliaeetus leucocephalus (bald eagle), 444 nucleotides. RefSeq lists it as uncharacterized. The transcript is spliced from 3 exons. Lineage: Eukaryota; Metazoa; Chordata; Aves; Accipitriformes; Accipitridae. The record is from RefSeq and is a predicted model, not a curated record.